ACAAGCAGUGGAGUAUGUGGUUUAAUUCGAAGCAACGCGAAGAACCUUACCAGGGCUUGACAUCCCUUGAAGCAGCUAGAGAUAGCUGUGUCCUUCGGGACAAGGAGACAGGUGGUGGCAUGGUUGUCGUCAGCUCGUGUCGUGAGAUGUUGGGUUAAGUCCCGCAACGAGCGCAACCCCUACGUUUAGUUGCUAACGCGUGAAGGCGAGCACUCUAGACGAACUGCCGUUGACAAAACGGAGGAAGGUGGGGAUGACGUCAAAUCAUCAUGCCCCUUAUGUUCUGGGCUACACACGUGCUACAAUGGCCGGUACAGACGGACGCAAAGCCGCGAGGUGGAGCAAAUCCUAAAAAGCCGGUCUCAGUUCGGAUUGCAGGCUGCAAUUCGCCUGCAUGAAGUCGGAAUCGCUAGUAAUCGCAGGUCAGCAUACUGCGGUGAAUACGUUCCCGGGCCUU
RNAcentral lists this ribosomal RNA (457 nucleotides) under uncultured Bacillus sp. RNAcentral's name for it is "bacterial SSU rRNA". It matches the Rfam family "Bacterial small subunit ribosomal RNA", at positions 925 to 1382 of the family's 1533-position model. The record is from RNAcentral. Lineage: Bacteria; Bacillati; Bacillota; Bacilli; Caryophanales; Bacillaceae.